Molecule: ribosomal RNA, 253 nt
Filed under: uncultured bacterium
Lineage: Bacteria
Description: partial 16S ribosomal RNA
Rfam family: Bacterial small subunit ribosomal RNA
Source: RNAcentral
UACGGAGGGGGCUAGCGUUGUUCGGAAUUACUGGGCGUAAAGCGCACGUAGGCGGACUGUUAAGUCGGGGGUGAAAUCCCGGGGCUCAACCCCGGAACUGCCUUCGAUACUGGCAGUCUAGAGGAAGGUAGAGGCUAGUGGAAUGGCGAGUGUAGAGGCGAAAUUCGUAGAUAUUCGCCGGAACACCAGUGGCGAAGGCGACUGGCUGGACCUUUUCUGACGCUGAGGUGCGAAAGCGUGGGGAGCAAACAGG